AGUGAACGCUGGCGGUAGGCCUAACACAUGCAAGUCGAACGGCAGCACAGUAAGAGCUUGCUCUUACGGGUGGCGAGUGGCGGACGGGUGAGGAAUACAUCGGAAUCUACUUUUUCGUGGGGGAUAACGUAGGGAAACUUCCGCUAAUACCGCAUACGACCUACGGGUGAAAGCAGGGGAUCUUCGGACCUUGCGCGAUUGAAUGAGCCGAUGUCGGAUUAGCUAGUUGGCGGGGUAAAGGCCCACCAAGGCGACGAUCCGUAGCUGGUCUGAGAGGAUGAUCAGCCACACUGGAACUGAGACACGGUCCAGACUCCUACGGGAGGCAGCAGUGGGGAAUAUUGGACAAUGGGCGCAAGCCUGAUCCAGCCAUGCCGCGUGGGUGAAGAAGGCCUUCGGGUUGUAAAGCCCUGUUGUUGGGAAAGAAAAGCAGCAGGUGAAUACCCCGCUGUUCUGACGGUACCCAAAGAAUAAGCACCGGCUAACUUCGUG
Molecule: ribosomal RNA, 492 nt
Filed under: uncultured bacterium
Lineage: Bacteria
Description: partial 16S ribosomal RNA
Rfam family: Bacterial small subunit ribosomal RNA
Source: RNAcentral